RNAcentral lists this ribosomal RNA (431 nucleotides) under uncultured archaeon. RNAcentral's name for it is "bacterial SSU rRNA". It matches the Rfam family "Archaeal small subunit ribosomal RNA", at positions 474 to 903 of the family's 1478-position model. The record is from RNAcentral.
CACCAGCUCUUCAAGUGGUUGGGACUUUUAUUGGGCUUAAAGCGUCCGUAGCCUGUUUGAUAAGUUCCUGGUUAAAUCCGGCAGCUUAACUGUUGGAAUGCUAGGAAUACUGUCUUACUAGAGGGCGGGAAAGGUCAGGGGUACUCCGGGGGGGAGCGGUGAAAUGUGAUAAUCCUCGGGGGACCACCAGUGGCGAAGGCGCCUGACUGGAACGCGCCUGACGGUGAGGGACGAAAGGUAGGGGAACGAACGGGAUUAGAUACCCCGGUAGUCCCACCCGUAAACGAUGCGCUCUAGAUGUCGGUUCUGCUCCGAGCAGUGCCGGUGCCACAGGGAAACCGUUAAGAGCGCCGCCUGGGAAGUACGCUCGCAAGAGUGAAACUUAAAGGAAUUGGACGGGGGAGCACCACAAGGGGUGAAGCCUGCGGUUU